RNAcentral lists this ribosomal RNA (165 nucleotides) under uncultured bacterium. RNAcentral's name for it is "partial 16S ribosomal RNA". It matches the Rfam family "Bacterial small subunit ribosomal RNA", at positions 355 to 511 of the family's 1533-position model. The record is from RNAcentral.
UAGGGAAUCUUCGGCAAUGGACGAAAGUCUGACCGAGCAACGCCGCGUGAGUGAAGAAGGUCUUCGGAUCGUAAAACUCUGUUGGUAGAGAAGAACGUUGGUGAGAGUGGAAAGCUCAUCAAGUGACGGUAACUACCCAGAAAGGGACGGCUAACUACGUGCCAA